UCCAAGGACAUCUGACAGGGANUAGUAGA
This 29-nucleotide non-coding RNA is filed under the name Mus musculus (house mouse). Lineage: Eukaryota; Metazoa; Chordata; Mammalia; Rodentia; Muridae. The record is from RNAcentral.